GAGAGAGAGAGAGAAAGAGAAAAAAAAAGGUAAUUUUAAUGGAUAGAAGAGGGUAGGCGGAGUUUCUAAAGAGUUCAUAAUUAAGAAGCAAACGAGAUCAAAUCCGAUUCUAAAUCAAGACGCAGUUCGAUACUCCAUUUUCUUUGAGGACAUGAGGGAGACCCCAAUAUUGGUAUUGCAAGACGGCGCUUAAGUCAUUGACAAGAGAAAUGACAAGAGAAUCAACGA
Molecule: non-coding RNA, 228 nt
Organism: Camelina sativa (false flax)
Lineage: Eukaryota; Viridiplantae; Streptophyta; Magnoliopsida; Brassicales; Brassicaceae
Source: RefSeq, a predicted model, not a curated record